GUCUGCGUCCAUACUACCCUGAACACACCUGGUCUUAGCAACUAAGCAGGGUUAGGGAUGGUUAGCACUUGGAUAGGAGACUGCCUGGGAAUACCUGGUGCUGUAGGCU
This 109-nucleotide ribosomal RNA is filed under the name Propithecus coquereli (Coquerel's sifaka). Lineage: Eukaryota; Metazoa; Chordata; Mammalia; Primates; Indriidae. The record is from RNAcentral.